This 479-nucleotide ribosomal RNA is filed under the name uncultured bacterium. RNAcentral's name for it is "partial 16S ribosomal RNA". It matches the Rfam family "Bacterial small subunit ribosomal RNA", at positions 28 to 507 of the family's 1533-position model. The record is from RNAcentral.
GAUGAACGCUAGCGGGAGGCCUAACACAUGCAAGCCGAGCGGUAGAGUUCCUUCGGGAACUUGAGAGCGGCGUACGGGUGCGUAACACGUGUGCAACCUACCUUUAUCUGGGGGAUAGCCUUUCGAAAGGAAGAUUAAUACCCCAUAAUAUAAUGAUUGUCAUCAAUUAUUAUUGAAAACUCCGGUGGAUAGAGAUGGACACGCGCAAGAUUAGAUAGUUGGUGAGGUAACGGCUCACCAAGUCAAUGAUCUUUAGGGGUCCUGAGAGGGAGAUCCCCCACACUGGUACUGAGACACGGACCAGACUCCUACGGGAGGCAGCAGUGAGGAAUAUUGGACAAUGGGUGAAAGCCUGAUCCAGCCAUCCCGCGUGAAGGAUGACGGUCCUAUGGAUUGUAAACUUCUUUUGGACAGGGAUAAACCUACUCUCGUGAGGGUAGCUGAAGGUACUGUACGAAUAAGCACCGGCUAACUCCGUG